Long non-coding RNA from Raphanus sativus (radish), 1331 nucleotides. RefSeq lists it as uncharacterized. The transcript has 4 exons. The record is from RefSeq and is a predicted model, not a curated record. Lineage: Eukaryota; Viridiplantae; Streptophyta; Magnoliopsida; Brassicales; Brassicaceae.
UAUAUAUAAAAGACAGUUUACUCUCUCCUGGGUGCGCCACAUGGGACGCCACGUCACAAAUUCGAAGCAUGUAGGUGCGCCACGUGUCCGCGUACAUAAACCGCAUCGUUUCGUUAAAACAUAAGUAUAAUUGGUUUGGGCUUUUAUUAUAUUUGGGCUUCAUCCGUCUGCGUUAAGGCGACACCACCGUCGUGUCGAUCCAAGUACAGGCCACCGCGUCUUACCAGAAUAGGUGUACGCUUUCAUUCAAUCUCCGUCGUUUACAUUUUCAUUCACUCCAUUAAACCAUCACCUUUAUUAACUCGCAUUCAAUAGCAUCUUCACCUUCCUUGAUGGUUACAAAAGUUAUCCUAUAAAUAAGAAGGUAAGCUUCGCCGAAAUUCAUCAAUCAUCACCUCUCACCCUCAAUCCUCAUAAUACUUUUCUUCAGUAUGAAGGUUUCUUCAGAGAAAUUCUGAUUUAGAUAUGGAGUUUCGAGAUGUUGAAUCGCUUUGUGAAUCUUCAAUCCCAACGUUUUGUCUUCUUUCCUAAUCAACGGAACUUAUCGGGAGAGCUAUUCAACACGAAUCGCGAUCAGUCUGAUGGUGAUUCCCUGGAUCGAAAAGCCUUGCUGUCGUUUCAUCUUGGAGGUAAAGCUUCCAAGAAUAUCAACAAUGACAUAGAACUUGAAUUUUGCUGCUGCGGCAAGGAAGCUCACUGAGAUGGGCCAUCCUGGAUUGGCUGAAACUUUCUACAACCAACGUGUACCCGGAAACGAUUGUGUCUAGCAGAGGAGGUAACAGACGUCUAUGAUGCUGUGAAAACAUGUUCAAAGAUAUCUGCAAGGUUUGCACCGGGUCAAGAGUUAUUCUGUUUCAGUUGAGAUCCUGAAGAAUGCACCAGUUCUUGCGAUUGUUUAUGAGAACUUCUCCGGCUGUGUUUUGCUUAUUGUAGAGAUUUGGGAUGCUCUUUAGCACUGAGGAGCUUGAUAUUUUUGUAAACGAUGGAGCUUUCGGAAUGGUCUAUUAAGUGGUUUCUGAAACUACACAAUAUCAGAGAGUGAAUUUAGCCAAGGUGUGUUAGUCUUGAAAGAUGCUUUGGUUGGACCUUAUGGAGAAAGAUAAGCGCAUUCCAAAAGCAAUAGAAUGUGUCGCUAUAGAAAAAACGGGUAGCUACAGAUUAUUGAUUCAACCCUGAUAAAAAAAGUCCUACAAGGAAGUUAUAUUUCGAUUUUAGGUGGUUUGGUUUGAUUUAGUUGUGUGUUGGUUUGUGUACAAAUUAUAGUGCAACAGUUUCUCAUGCAAUGAGUUGAGAACAUAAAAAAAUAUUCUCAUAGUAAAAACAUAAUUUAA